UCAGGUGUGGUUUAGUUGGUUAUAACGCUGAGGUCCUCUUAGUCCUGGUGUUGCGGGGAGGUAACGCGAGUUCGAUCCUCGGCACCGGAC
Mytilinidion resinicola is the source of this 90-nucleotide non-coding RNA. The record is from the annotation of a RefSeq genome assembly. Lineage: Eukaryota; Fungi; Ascomycota; Dothideomycetes; Mytilinidiales; Mytilinidiaceae.